Molecule: ribosomal RNA, 520 nt
Filed under: Colletotrichum gloeosporioides
Lineage: Eukaryota; Fungi; Ascomycota; Sordariomycetes; Glomerellales; Glomerellaceae
Description: eukaryotic LSU rRNA
Rfam family: 5.8S ribosomal RNA (bases 147-300)
Source: RNAcentral
GUGACAUACCUACAACUGUUGCUUCGGCGGGUAGGGUCUCCGCGACCCUCCCGGCCUCCCGCCUCCGGGCGGGUCGGCGCCCGCCGGAGGAUAACCAAACUCUGAUUUAACGACGUUUCUUCUGAGUGGUACAAGCAAAUAAUCAAAACUUUUAACAACGGAUCUCUUGGUUCUGGCAUCGAUGAAGAACGCAGCGAAAUGCGAUAAGUAAUGUGAAUUGCAGAAUUCAGUGAAUCAUCGAAUCUUUGAACGCACAUUGCGCCCGCCAGCAUUCUGGCGGGCAUGCCUGUUCGAGCGUCAUUUCAACCCUCAAGCUCUGCUUGGUGUUGGGGCCCUACAGCCGAUGUAGGCCCUCAAAGGUAGUGGCGGACCCUCCCGGAGCCUCCUUUGCGUAGUAACUUUACGUCUCGCACUGGGAUCCGGAGGGACUCUUGCCGUAAAACCCCCCAAUUUUCCAAAGGUUGACCUCGGAUCAGGUAGGAAUACCCGCUGAACUUAAGCAUAUCAAUAAGCGGAGGAA